Molecule: ribosomal RNA, 229 nt
Filed under: uncultured bacterium
Lineage: Bacteria
Description: partial 16S ribosomal RNA
Rfam family: Bacterial small subunit ribosomal RNA
Source: RNAcentral
UACGUAGGCGGAAAAUUAAGUCAGUAGUGAAAUCCCGCAGCUUAACUGCGGAACUGUUAUUGAUACUGGUUUUCUUGAAUGUAGUUGAGGUAGGCGGAAUGUGUAAUGUAGCGGUGAAAUGCUUAGAUAUUACACAGAACACCGAUUGCGAAGGCAGCUUACUAAGCUACGAUUGACGCUGAGGUACGAAAGCGUGGGGAGCGAACAGGAUUAGAUACCCUGGUAGUCC